This 352-nucleotide ribosomal RNA is filed under the name uncultured bacterium. RNAcentral's name for it is "bacterial SSU rRNA". It matches the Rfam family "Bacterial small subunit ribosomal RNA", at positions 527 to 881 of the family's 1533-position model. The record is from RNAcentral.
GGAAGGUCCGGGCGUUAUCCGGAUUUAUUGGGUUUAAAGGGAGCGUAGGCCGGAGAUUAAGCGUGUUGUGAAAUGUAGACGCUCAACGUCUGCACUGCAGCGCGAACUGGUUUCCUUGAGUACGCACAAAGUGGGCGGAAUUCGUGGUGUAGCGGUGAAAUGCUUAGAUAUCACGAAGAACUCCGAUUGCGAAGGCAGCCUGCUAAGCUGCAACUGACAUUGAGGCUCGAAAGUGUGGGUAUCAAACAGGAUUAGAUACCCUGGUAGUCCACACGGUAAACGAUGAAUACUCGCUGUUUGCGAUAUACGGCAAGCGGCCAAGCGAAAGCGUUAAGUAUUCCACCUGGGGAGU